UAACCCUAACCAGCCGCCACCUAAACCUAGCGCGCGCCACUCUCCCUGGCAGCCGCCGUCAGGAAGCCUCCACUCCUUCUCCCUCUUCUCUCUCUUCUCUCCUCCCCUUGCUCUUCUCUGGCCGCCGCCACUUGCCCGGACUUCCUGCAGCCGAGCGCCCCUGCAGCUCCCUGCACCUUCAUCCUGCGCGCUCCAGUCGACCGCGCACUGGGACCAGCGCAGUGCCCAGCCGAGCAGCGCGACGCCCGGUGGCGUUCAUGUGCUUCUCGGUACGGUGAAACCUUUAUUGUCGUUCCUACCACACUUUCCUCAUUUCUUGAGACUUUGGCCGUUGGAUGGUGUACUCUGCGGGAUCCGCAACCUCCUACUGAGCUCCCGCACAGAGGGGCAGGCAUGUGAGGCUUUCGCAGGAAGUGCAGGCAGCCGGCCGUCGACACCAAGCAGGCCUUGCGCUUAUGGCAGCCGUGGUGCUCGGUCUUAUCACCAGUGGUGUCGUUAGAUGCCAAAUGCAGUUUGCUCUGCAUGGGGAUUUUGCUUUCUGGUGUCUGUCCCGUUGGAAAUGGGUAGUUCCUGAGUGACGAACAGACUUCCCAUGGCAGCUAUUCUGUUGAGGAUGUGCGAAAGGUGCACUGCAGAGUCUGAGAAGUGAGAGAAAAAAAUGACAAGUGCUGUUUACCGCUCACCCAUUUUUAACCAAUGCCACGGUGAUACAAUUAUCUGUGCUAAAGGGACAAUUGUUUCAACUAAACCAAGCACCACAGUUGGAGGCCAGAUCCUUGGAAGGCAAUAUUGUGAAAUUAUUGUAACUUGUGUGCUAAAACGAGAUACAAUUUUGCCUCGCCCUGGAGUGAUGUCGCUGGUGGUGCUUUUGUGACUGAUCAUCUCUGGAGCUUUUGUGAAUGAUCUAGAUCUAGCUAUCUAUCUGUAAAUGAUCUAGUUGUGAAUGAUAUUAUAAUUGUGAUGCUUUUGU
This is a long non-coding RNA of Zea mays, 970 nucleotides long. RefSeq lists it as uncharacterized. The transcript has 3 exons. The record is from RefSeq and is a predicted model, not a curated record. NCBI's taxonomy places the organism in Eukaryota, Viridiplantae, Streptophyta, Magnoliopsida, Poales, Poaceae.